RNAcentral lists this ribosomal RNA (252 nucleotides) under uncultured bacterium. RNAcentral describes it as "partial 16S ribosomal RNA". It matches the Rfam family "Bacterial small subunit ribosomal RNA", at positions 524 to 776 of the family's 1533-position model. The record is from RNAcentral.
UACGGAGGAUGCGAGCGUUAUCCGGAUUUAUUGGGUUUAAAGGGUGCGUAGGCGGGCUUUUAAGUCAGCGGUAAAAAUUCGGGGCUCAACCCCGUCCGGCCGUUGAGACUGGGGGUCUUGAGUGGGCGAGAAGAAGGCGGAAUGCGUGGUGUAGCGGUGAAAUGCAUAGAUAUCACGCAGAACCCCGAUUGCGAAGGCAGCCUUCCGGCGCCCUACUGACGCUGAGGCACGAAAGUGUGGGCAUCAAACAGG